AUUGUUAUUAAGUGACGUCCUAU
Molecule: small nuclear RNA, 23 nt
Filed under: Arabidopsis thaliana (thale cress)
Lineage: Eukaryota; Viridiplantae; Streptophyta; Magnoliopsida; Brassicales; Brassicaceae
Description: snRNA_10807
Source: RNAcentral